RNAcentral lists this long non-coding RNA (299 nucleotides) under Gossypium raimondii (Peruvian cotton). Its description in RNAcentral is "long non-coding RNA (GRAI_LNC002257)". Lineage: Eukaryota; Viridiplantae; Streptophyta; Magnoliopsida; Malvales; Malvaceae. The record is from RNAcentral.
GCUCCUUUCAGAGUUUCUACCGAGGAGGGAAGUGGAAGCAGUAGAAAGAGGCAAAAGAUAAUAGUUGGUUCUGUCGAUAUUGUAUUGAACAGUGAAGAUGAAGAUACGCUAAAGGUAUGCGAGAUUUACGAAAAGAAAGGUAAAGAUCGUGCAGCACCCUCGACGACCAAGACAGCUGCAGUUGUCACCUAUGCUCCAUCAGUGUCUCUUCUCCCUAUGAGGCCACCUACUGGUGGUACAUUUGGGGUAUUCCAAAAUGUAGAACCCAUUCUUCAUAGGAGCUCAUUGAAGUUAGUGUC